RNAcentral lists this ribosomal RNA (594 nucleotides) under uncultured bacterium. RNAcentral describes it as "bacterial SSU rRNA". It matches the Rfam family "Bacterial small subunit ribosomal RNA", at positions 8 to 597 of the family's 1533-position model. The record is from RNAcentral.
AGAGUUUGAUCCUGGCUCAGAUUGAACGCUGGCGGCAUGCCUUACACAUGCAAGUCGAACGGCAGCGCGGGAGCAAUCCUGGCGGCGAGUGGCGAACGGGUGAGUAAUACAUCGGAACGUGCCCAAUCGUGGGGGAUAACGCAGCGAAAGCUGUGCUAAUACCGCAUACGAUCUACGGAUGAAAGCAGGGGAUCGCAAGACCUUGCGCGAAUGGAGCGGCCGAUGGCAGAUUAGGUAGUUGGUGAGGUAAAGGCUCACCAAGCCUUCGAUCUGUAGCUGGUCUGAGAGGACGACCAGCCACACUGGGACUGAGACACGGCCCAGACUCCUACGGGAGGCAGCAGUGGGGAAUUUUGGACAAUGGGCGAAAGCCUGAUCCAGCCAUGCCGCGUGCAGGAUGAAGGCCUUCGGGUUGUAAACUGCUUUUGUACGGAACGAAAAGGUCUUUUCUAAUAAAGAAGGCUCAUGACGGUACCGUAAGAAUAAGCACCGGCUAACUACGUGCCAGCAGCCGCGGUAAUACGUAGGGUGCAAGCGUUAAUCGGAAUUACUGGGCGUAAAGCGUGCGCAGGCGGUUAUAUAAGACAGUUGUGA